Molecule: ribosomal RNA, 429 nt
Filed under: Verrucomicrobiota bacterium
Lineage: Bacteria; Pseudomonadati; Verrucomicrobiota
Description: Verrucomicrobia bacterium partial 16S ribosomal RNA
Rfam family: Bacterial small subunit ribosomal RNA
Source: RNAcentral
UAGGGAAUCUUCGGCAAUGGGGGGAACCCUGACCGAGCAACGCCGCGUGAGUGAAGAAGGUUUUCGGAUCGUAAAGCUCUGUUGUUAAGGAAGAACGAGUGUGAGAAUGGAAAGUUCAUGCUGUGACGGUACUUAACCAGAAAGGGACGGCUAACUACGUGCCAGCAGCCGCGGUAAUACGUAGGUCCCGAGCGUUGUCCGGAUUUAUUGGGCGUAAAGCGAGCGCAGGCGGUUAGAAAAGUCUGAAGUGAAAGGCAGUGGCUCAACCAUUGUAGGCUUUGAAAACUGUUUAACUUGAGUGCAGAAGGGGAGAGUGGAAUUCCAUGUGUAGCGGUGAAAUGCGUAGAUAUAUGGAGGAACACCGGUGGCGAAAGCGGCUCUCUGGUCUGUAACUGACGCUGAGGCUCGAAAGCGUGGGGAGCGAACAGG